AUGUUGGCAACCUGGACUCCCUUGCAAAAUAGCUUUUGAAGACGAAGUUUCUGCUAGCCAGGGCCCUUACAUGAUUGCAUGGAGCAGAUCCCCUCAACCCGAUCCUGCCACCUGUUGGGCUUUCCAUGAGCAACAACUUAAGACUGGAGGCAAGAAUGGUUUUGAAGGUGAGAAAACAGAAGUGUCUUCAGCAUUAUUUACCAAGCCAAUUAAAGAGUACAGAAUGAGUGCAGAUACUGGAAACCAAUCCAAUUUACUCAGGUCCUGAGCUGUGUAUCUUCUCACAUGAGGGAAGAACAAGAAAAAAUUGGCUCCAGUUGCAGAAGGUUUCAGGACAUCCAUCAGUAUUUCCCGACAUUACCGGGAUUCCUAGGCAAGUUACCAAGGCAAAUUAUAGAAUCACUUUAUAUAGAGAUCAUUAAAUUUAGGACAGAACAGAAAAUUACCCUGGGUUUGACACAGGCAUUUUAAAAUAUAGAGGUAGGUCCU
Neogale vison (American mink) is the source of this 489-nucleotide long non-coding RNA. RefSeq lists it as uncharacterized. NCBI's taxonomy places the organism in Eukaryota, Metazoa, Chordata, Mammalia, Carnivora, Mustelidae. The record is from RefSeq and is a predicted model, not a curated record. The transcript is spliced from 3 exons.